This is a non-coding RNA of Pantherophis guttatus, 8410 nucleotides long. The record is from RefSeq and is a predicted model, not a curated record. NCBI's taxonomy places the organism in Eukaryota, Metazoa, Chordata, Lepidosauria, Squamata, Colubridae.
GCUCCGAUUGGGUGACUGGAAGCAGGGGAGGGGAAGAUGGCGGAGUGAAGGGGAAGAAGUGGAGCGAGAGCCUCUGCGGGCUGCGGCCCGGGGGCCCCAGCUGGGGGGAUCAGAUCAGUAGAGAAUAUUCUAGAUUAGGCCCUUUCCUCGAAGGUCCAUGCCCCUCCAGGUCCAAGCAAAUAUCAUAGUAAUUGGCAGUCAACAUUUGCAUUAACUGAAAGCUACCGGCAAAAAUUCUUGGUGAUAAAAUGAUCAGUGCAGCAUGAAAUGAAAAAGAAAUUGUAAUGGAAUUGGAAGCAAGCAAAUGUCCCUAUCGUCCAAAAAGGAGGAAAAUCCAGGAAUGAACCAUCACUAAAGGUCGUUUCCUUUUGACGCAGGAGAUGCUGUUUCUUUAAAGAGUUGUUAUUCAUGAAUGCCCAUCUUGAGAAGAAAACUCUUCCUUUAUUUCUCUAAAUGGAAAUGAAGAAAUGCUGCUUUGAGCCUUUUACAGCUCCUCAUCAUAAAAAAUCAUCACAUGACGCAGAAUUAUACAGGUGGAAAAUACAACCCUUGCAAAGCAACUAAAAUGAAUAUAUGGACUUCCAUGUGUACCAGGCCUUUGCUUAUGGUUUUUUGCCCUCUAAAAGUGAUUGUGCAUUACAAUAUGAGCAAUUGUCAAUUCUUGUUGACACUUUGAUUCAUUCAAUAUAUUUUAGUAAAAUAAUUCACCACAAAAUCUUUGGAGAACCUAAACAAAUCGGUAUGUUCUUGAAAUACCGUCUCAGAAAUCUUGAUGAAAAAUUAUGGCAGAAGGACCAGAAUGUACAUGUGUUAUAAAAAAAAAAAGAGAGAGGGAAAUAGUUUGAAAGAUUUUCCACUGGAAAAUUUCCUUCCUAAAAGAGUCAGUUAUAAUUAGAUUUUAAUGGAAUCUUGAUGCAAGUAAAUCUUGAUGCAACUACAUAAAAUUGCAUCAGUCAAGUUAUGUAUUGAAUGUACAUAAAAGCUGGAAAGUGGGGAUAUUAAUAAUAUGUCCCACAAAAUGAAGGUUGGAGACUUAAAAGUAUAGAAAGCCUUGGGUAGUAGAAUUUACUUGGUAUCGCAAUUCUUUCCUAAGGAAUUCAACAAUAAAAGGAACAAUGAUUGAACUGUCCAGGCUUUUUCCUGAAAGGAACAACAAUGCCAGUAUAACCUUGUAUGUAAAACUCCACUGCUUAGAUGAACAAAAGUUAGACAUGCUCAGGAAGGGCUUCUUUAUUAUUUCUCAAUAAGUCACCCAGAGUUAAGGUGGGAAUUGUGUUCUAAACAUGCUUGCAGAACAUUCUUUGCAUCGUGUUUGUUUCUACUGGACUGUUUCAAGCUGGGAUAAAAGCUGCUUUUUGCCACAAUGGGUGCAAAAGCCUAUGUCUUCUUCCCUUGCUGAGCCAUGGAGCACCUUAUUUCAGUUUUAUUAAAAUAUUAAUGUAGGUUCGCUAAUAGUUUUGACAAUAUCCUCAAUCUUAGUUAAAGGAAGUACAUUUGAUAAUUGUUAGUCAUAGCUAAGAAUGUUGAAUGCUUUUGGCUGAUUGUUAUUUUCAAAGGUAAAGUUGUGGCUGCUAGAAGAAUAUUUGGGAUGUUUGUAUGUUUUAAAUAGUUUUAAUAAGGGGAAUAAACCUAGCAAAGCAUUUGUGUUUGCUUGUCAUCGUGUUGUGUUUAGCUUAUAUAUGAUAAAAGAGUAAACAUUUUUUUCUUUCUUUGAAUAAAAACGAAGUAGAGGUAGUCCUCAUUUAGUGACCAAACGAACUGGCAUCUUGGUUGUUAAGCAAAGCAGUCAGUAAAUGACAUUGACCUGUCGAUGAGAUCUUACUUCAGCUUUCCUUUGCUUUACAGACCUGUGAAUGUCAUAAAUGCAAGGAUUGGUUGUAAAGUUACUUUUUCCUCACCAUUGUAACUGUGGCAUAGUUAAUAAGAGCUAAAUAAAGACUACCUGUACAAUUGUUUUUUUUUAAGUGUUGCAAAAGAACAUUUUCAGAGGGCUUAAAAUAUAGCUACAGAACAAAAAUGAAAUAUUUAAUAGUCAAAAGAGUUGUGAAACUUAGAAAUUUACUCAUACAAAAGUUUAAAUUUUAAAAUAAUUUGGAUAUCUUUUGGGUUUAUCAAGGUUUCAGAAGUAAAACUUAAUGAAGUUGUUCUCUGCGACUCUUACUAAAAAUUAGAAAGCAGCAUGAAUUUAAUCAGUAAUUUGGAUGUUGUUUUAGCUAUUUAUACCUCAGAGAUAUUUUGUGGUGAAGAUAAUACAGUACAUUGGGACAGAAGGGAAAUGUAAUUUAGUUUCCCAAAUCAUUAGAAAAUGAUCAUAUAUUUAAGAAAAAAAUAAAUUCUUUAUCUCCUUUCUCACUAAAUGCCACUGUAAUAAUGUAUCUAUUUCUAUUGAAUACGGCUGCAUUAAGAGUAAAGUUAGCAUUUGAGGAAAAAAACAACACUGCUCUCUAUGUCUGGGAAAUCACUUUAGUUUAGUUAUCCAUGUCCAUCUCCUUAACAGUAGUAUUCACAGGCAAUAUUGCCUUAUAUUUUUUUUAAGUUUUACAUACUCAUUUGUUGUCCACCUUGGCAGGAAAUCUUUCACAUCUGAAAGAUGAAGCAAAUAUGGGGCAUGUGCAAUAGUAUAAUAUAUACAUAUAAAUAUAUUUUAAUACUUGUGGACAAAAUGUUACAAGUUGUUUGAGAACAACAAAAUCACCAAUGUCUUCCAUUUUAAAAUGUGUAUAGUUCCAUAAGCAUUAGUGCUUUGUAGCAAAACUGUAGUGCCAUGUUAGGAUCGGUGCAUGAGCCUAGUAGUACUUUUUUACGAUUUCAGAGUGACAAAUUAAUGAAGCUGAUGAUGUAACUUAUAGGAAACUGACAUGGUUACGGUCAUGGUCUAAAGAUGCAGUGUCCUUUCUAGGCAAUGGUAGAAGAAACUGCUGCAUAGAAUCAGUGAGAUGUGAAUUUCAUAGUGAUUGCAUGAAAAUAAUCUUUAAUCAGCCAGGUAUAUUUUGAGUGCACUUAAACUGCAUGUAAAAACCCUAAUAGAAGUAAUAAUCUUUAACAAAACCCCUUGUGAAUCAUGGAAUAUUUUGCUAUAAUGAGAAAAAAAAAUAACUGAUAGUGUAAAUUCUUAAAUUUUAGGGACUAGAAUAAGCAUAUGACUAGUCUUUCCCAUUCAUGCUUUUUUCCACAAAAAGUUUUGGUAUGUUUUUGAAUCAGAUUUGUUGGUUGUUUUUGUGCUUGCAUUAAGACAGGAAUGGGUAACCUUUUACAGUGUAACUGUUGCUUGUAGAAACUGAAUGAUUGGGGCUUGCACAUAUCUGCCAAUGGGGCAGCUAUUAAUCAAGAGUAGCAUCUUGCAAAAUUGACAAAUCUAGAAAUGCUAUCACUGUACAGCUAAUUCUGAAUGCACCUAAGUUAUUAGCAUUGUUCAUUAUUAAAAUCUCAUAUAUAUUUUUUUUCUUACCUCGCUAUUUUGAUAAAGCAUUUGUUGUUUUCUUACUAAUUAAAUAUUUAGUCAAAUUUAUUUCUUGCAUCCAAAUAUCUAUAUAUUACAGUAAUUAAUCUUAGUAGGUUUUCCCCCUUUUCUGAAAUUAGUUAGGUAACUCAUCUAAAACUUUAUUUUUGGUUUAAACAAGUCAAGACUUAAGUUAUGAAUCUAGUUCUUUGUAGAUCUUUACGGUUUAAAUGCUACUUUUAGCUUAAAGGGGAUACUGCAUCUUUUUUUAAAAAAAGGAACUUCUCUAUAAAUGACCACCUUGAUGAGAGAAAAGAUGUCUGUAUUUCUUUAUUGGCAAAACAUAAUAUGAUACUUGUACUGUAACUGUUAACCCAGAGAACUGCAGAAUUACUUUUAAAGAUCUCUCUCUCUCUCUAUUUUCUCAUGAAAGUGGCAAGGUGUGUCGUUUGGAGUUGAAUUGUGAGGACCUGAGCUCUUUUGGGGCUCUCUUGUGAACAGCAGUAUAAUUGAAUGAAAUGGGGCUGAUGAUUGGGAGAAUUGAUGGAAAAAUACCUCUGAAACUGGAAUGCAAAAUAGCACAGUACGUAGGGGGGGAAAUCCCUGAUGCAAAUAAAGCCAUAAGAAGACAAUAAAUAGAACUUUAGUAGCAAUAACUGUUUGCAUGUAAUAGGACCUAACUUGCAUUGGCAAGAAUAGUAUAGUAGAAUAAAUGGUAUUAACCAAAUAGGUUUGCUGUGCUCUGUGUUGCAGGAAGUUGAAUUUCUCAUUAAAAGGUUGGUAAGUUCCUCUCUACCACAAAACAAUGUGCUUGAAUGCUACAGGGCAAAGCCUGGCAAAAAUUCCAGAAUAAUUUUAUUUUUAAAAAUUGAUAUAAUUAGGAAAAGAGGUUUAUUGUAUAUGAAACCGAUGAAAACUUAACACAGAAUAUUUGUAGAUAAUUGAUCAUCAUUUCUGAAGUAACGAAGAACCCUUGAGGCUGGGUUCUACCCAGGGAUAUAAUUUAGGAGUUUGGGGAUCCAAAUUUUUGAACCAAAUUGUGAAUUUCUUUAAAAGUAGUGCUUAUAUAAUUCUUUUAUUCAUUUUCUUUUAUAAGCAAAUCUAAUGUUUCACUUUUUUUAUUUUAUAAAGCUACUUGUAGACAUGGAAGGAGGAUAGCAAGUUUUAGGUCACUGCCUGGCAAACUUUCAUCAUUCUAGAGAGCGCAGUUUAUACCUCUUUAAAAUUAUAUUUAAAAUUCAGUUGCAUUAACUUUGUAUGCAUGUGCAAACUGAAGACCAAGUAAACUGUAAAUCUAAUAUAGAAAUCUGCCUUAAGCAGGGUUCGAUUGACCAGAUUCAUUUGCAAGGCUGGGACAUAUAUUUAAAGAAAGUGGCUUUUUAUUUUUGUUCUACAUUCUUUGAUAUCUAUUGUUUACCUACAUGGAUAAGGUGGCAGUUUUAAAAUAAAAUGCAUAUACACACACACGGGCAUGUUUAUACACAUUCUAUAGAACUUUCUGCUCUACGUAUUUAUACUGAUCAAUGAAAAUUAGCACAAGUUUUCUAAAAUGUUCAGAAGUUUAAUCCAACAUUUAUGUACACAAAUAGUUGAUAUGUUUAGGUGACUUUUGAUCACAUAAUAGAUAGGGGGUAUUCAUUAAACUCAGAAACAAUUUUUCUAACCCUGGAAAAUUAUUUGCACUUACUGUGUUUGCCUACGUGAUUAUUUAAAUACCCAUUUGCAGAAUCCUAAAGGUGUCUCGUAUCUAUAUCAGUACAAUUUUUACUGCUCUCAUAUUUUGAACAGCUAAUUUACAAAUCUUUUUGUUGGCUCAGCUGGUGCUAGGCUGAAUAUAACAUUGCUCGUAGAAAAUUUUACUCUCGUAAUCUGAGUCAUGAAUGUGAGGACUCAGGAUUGCAUGAAAGACUUGAAUGUGGUGCUAUUCUGGAAGAACUAGUUAGACUGUUGUUAAUUGCUUGUUAAAGCAUCUGAAUCGCAGCCUCAUCCUAGAGUACAUUACUGCCUUGAUCUAAGUGAUAAGGAACUAUAGUAUUACUGGAAAUUUAAUACUGAAAUAUAAUUCUAAAUGCACGAGAGAAAAUUCUUAAGUGGCUCUUCAUUGUACUUAAUCUGCCUAUUCUCUGUGUAGUUUCUCCUUUGAUUGUAAUUCUCUUGAUAGCUCUUAAUUUUUGACUGCAGAUCAGUUUCAUUGAAACAUUAAUACUAUUCUUGAUGAAAGACUCCAUAGAGCUUGCAUUUCAUCCGUCAAUAUUUUAGUACUUUUAAAAAUAUUUUAAUCAGCACCUACUCUCUAAAUUUUAUGGUGAAAUCCCUCUUAAUAUAGACUUCCCUUUGGAUUUUUAAAUUUUCCUUUAUUUUGCACUUUGAAAAACAAUAAAUCAUGUAAGAAUUCAAGCACAAUAUUGACACAAAGGUGCCAGAAAAUAGCUCUCAAAAACAGGCUUUUGGAAUACAGAUUGCAAGUAGUUCUUUGAUGGUUCAGUCAAGAUCUAGAGAAGCUAAGAUGAAUUGAGGUUUUGCAUUCAGUUUGUAUGAUUGGGAUGGGUUACAAGAGAAGCCCAUACAUAGAGAGAGAAGCAGGGAAUUUAACUGUUCCAGAAAUGUGGAAAAAUGAUAGCUAUGCAUAGUGCAUAGAUUUAUACAAAGAUUGCUGGAAUAAAUACAUUGGUGUAUCUCUUAAUAAAGGGGAAUAAAAGUACACUUAUGCAUGGGUUUAUUAUUGAAUCUGAAAAUGAUUAGAGAAAGAAUGCAUGUUGGUGAUGGGAGGAUUAGGGUGACUGUUUCUUGCAUUCUAGAAAAGAAAGCUAUUUGUUCAGAGAGGAACUGAGUUCAUUCUAGGAACAUGGGAAAUGAAUGAUGGAGGCUUUGAAUGUGAGCACUUCCUAGCUGGUUUUAGAUGGAAUUUCCAAGUUUUCCAAGUCACAGCACAAAAAAUAUUCCAUAAAGUGUAGUAUUUCUUAAGGACUGGAUAUUGCAAUUCUUUUCUUUUCCGUGCAGGUGAAGACAGAUAAGGUUACAAAGCUAUCAGAAUGGAAUACUUGUGUGGGAAAAACCACUGGCACAAGCACAUAGACUCACAAACCGUCUUUUUUUAGAGAUAGUAUUCUAAUUAUGCAUGAUUAAAAUGUAUAGUGUUAUAGCUAUUAUCAGUAAAUUGAUAUAUGCAUUUAUACAUUAUGAAGCAAUAGGAACCAAUAUACCAAUAGCUUGAAUUUACUGCUUUGAUUCUCAGUUUUUUUAGACAACAUGCUGCCUCUUUAGUAAAGGGGCAAAAUGUACAAAGAAGGGACGAAGCAUGACGCCAAAACUGUGUAUUAGAAAAAGGAAUCAGUAGAAUGAACCCUUUUAGUCUCUUACCAAGUUCAUAGCAGCUCAUGAGCCUACAUGAUAUGAACAUGGUUAAUGGCAAUUUGGGUUUCUUGGUUGCUGCAGUUGUACAAACAAAAAAAGGUGCAGAGUUUCAGAGCACAGAAAAGGGAAUAUGUAAAUCCCAAAUGGGGCAAUAAAAAUGAUCUAAGCAGUUUAGGGUUUGUGGUUAUUUUUAAGUAGAGAUAGUAAAUUUAGCCAGAGCAGUUAGUUAGUUGCAGCUAAAAAACAAUGAGUAAUUAAAAUGAGUAAGCUGUCCAUACUUUUCAGGUAUUAAUUUUUCUAAGACAGAUGUAGCUUUUCAGUUUCCCACCACCACCACCUUUGGCAGCUGGAUUAAAAUGAACUGGUUUCAAACCAGCAAUAACUUACAUUAUGAAAAUUAGAGAUAUUUAAGUAUUCGUUCAAGCUGUAUUUAAAUAGGAUGUAGCUUUUUUGAUCAUCUAGAGCAGGGGUGUCACUCAAGGCCUGCGGGCUGGAUGCAGCCCGUGGGGUGCUUAGAUUUGGCCUGCGGGGCCGGCCUGGAAACACCAGAGGACUAGCCCGGAGUGCCUCUCCAAGCAAAAACGCCCUGUUUUUGGCCACAAUGGCCUGCAGCCCUCUGCCAGAAAAAACAGCUCUGGGAGCUGCGCCCACCCGUGCCCUCACCCUCCAAGGUCAAACAACCCUAAUGCGGCGCUCAAUGAAAUCAAGUUUGACACCCCUGAUCUAGAGGAUUGAUAAGACUCAAUUUUGAAAAAUUGGUGCAGUAAAACGUGUAGAUAACUAGAAAUAUUAUAGCAGCAUAGCUGUUGCAGCAAAGUCUGUGUUGGCACAUACUUUUCCUAUUAAGAUGUGUGAAAAAGAUCUCAAGUUUGAAUCUUUAGAUUGCACUAGUUUGCAAAAAGGCUUAUCUAAGUACUAGUGUAUCAAAGUUUGACCUUUUUUCUAGGUGUGAAUAUUUGUUAAGGCAUAAUUGUGCAUUUUUGGUUUUGUAACUUUCCCAGUUAUACACAUUUCCAACCAUAUUUUCGCACAACCAUUGGCAGUAAUCAGUAAUUUCAUAUUAUUACCGGUAGACCUAUUGAAGUUGUGAUUGAAGUCUUGCAAACCAUUUUAACAAGUGAAAUAAAGUUUCUCAUUUCUAAAUUUUUCCUUCCAAAAUUGACUUCAAUAGUACAUUGUUUGAAGGUGUUUCAACUAUAAAGAGUAAAAUUUAAGACUGGGCUACUGAAUGGAUAUACUUUUUUUCCAAAAUAAAAUGUUAUUCUGGUGUUUGAAAACUGGGAAGAAUUGGUAGCAAAAGUUAAGUCUUGAAGAUAAUCUACAAAAUGAUUGGCAGAUAGGUAUGCCUUUUACUAACAGAUAAAGUCAUCUGGAUAAGAGUAUAAUCUACUCCCUUAUAUACAUUAUCAAUGUGAACAGUUUGUCUAUGUAUAUACCUAAUAUUUUCCAGAUGGCAGCUUGCUUUUAUAUCUAUGCAUAUUUGGGGAAGGGAAAGAAUGUGUUAAAUGUAUUCUUUUGACACUGUAAACAAUAAUUGCUCAAAAAUGAGCUUUGAAACUCUGCACCUGUGUAUAAUUUUUUAGCAAUAAAGCAGCAUGAGCUGAGAAUGCACUAAAA